This 495-nucleotide ribosomal RNA is filed under the name uncultured bacterium. RNAcentral describes it as "partial 16S ribosomal RNA". It matches the Rfam family "Bacterial small subunit ribosomal RNA", at positions 30 to 507 of the family's 1533-position model. The record is from RNAcentral.
UGAACGCUGGCGGCGUGCCUAAUACAUGCAAGUCGAGCGAACAGACGAGGAGCUUGCUCCUCUGACGUUAGCGGCGGACGGGUGAGUAACACGUGGAUAACCUACCUAUAAGACUGGGAUAACUUCGGGAAACCGGAGCUAAUACCGGAUAAUAUAUUGAACCGCAUGGUUCAAUAGUGAAAGACGGUUUUGCUGUCACUUAUAGAUGGAUCCGCGCCGCAUUAGCUAGUUGGUAAGGUAACGGCUUACCAAGGCAACGAUGCGUAGCCGACCUGAGAGGGUGAUCGGCCACACUGGAACUGAGACACGGUCCAGACUCCUACGGGAGGCAGCAGUAGGGAAUCUUCCGCAAUGGGCGAAAGCCUGACGGAGCAGCGCCGCGUGAGUGAUGAAGGUCUUCGGAUCGUAAAACUCUGUUAUUAGGGAAGAACAAAUGUGUAAGUAACUAUGCACGUCUUGACGGUACCUAAUCAGAAAGCCACGGCUAACUACGUG